This 253-nucleotide ribosomal RNA is filed under the name uncultured bacterium. Its description in RNAcentral is "partial 16S ribosomal RNA". It matches the Rfam family "Bacterial small subunit ribosomal RNA", at positions 524 to 776 of the family's 1533-position model. The record is from RNAcentral.
UACGUAGGUGGCAAGCGUUGUCCGGAAUUACUGGGCGUAAAGCGCACGUAGGCGGAUUGUUAAGUCGGGGGUGAAAUCCUGGAGCUCAACUCCAGAACUGCCUUCGAUACUGGCGAUCUCGAGUUCGGGAGAGGUGAGUGGAACUGCGAGUGUAGAGGUGAAAUUCGUAGAUAUUCGCAAGAACACCAGUGGCGAAGGCGGCUCACUGGCCCGAUACUGACGCUGAGGUGCGGAAGCGUGGGGAGCAAACAGG